Molecule: transfer RNA, 84 nt
Filed under: Methanothrix sp.
Lineage: Archaea; Methanobacteriati; Methanobacteriota; Methanomicrobia; Methanotrichales; Methanotrichaceae
Also listed under: 1 other name
Description: tRNA-Ser
Rfam family: tRNA
About the family: Transfer RNA (tRNA) molecules are approximately 80 nucleotides in length.
Source: RNAcentral
GCCGAGGUCGUCUAGUGGUAGGGCGCCAGCCUGGAGAGCUGGUGACUCGAAAGAGUCUCGUGAGUUCGAAUCUCACCCUCGGCG